CCGGUACCUUGUGAUGUUAUAGACUAGAGGUUUGAGUCGGUACCUUGUGAUGUUAUAGACUAGGGGUUUGAGCCGGUACCUUGUGAUGUUAUAGACUAGAGGUUUGAGCCGGUACCUUGUGAUGUUAUAGACUAGAGGUUUGAGCCGGUACCUUGUGAUGUUAUAGACUAGGGGUUUGAGCCGGUACCUUGUGAUGUUAUAGACUAGGGGUUUGAGCCGGUACCUUGUGAUGUUAUAGACUAGA
Oncorhynchus tshawytscha (Chinook salmon) is the source of this 244-nucleotide long non-coding RNA. RefSeq lists it as uncharacterized. The record is from RefSeq and is a predicted model, not a curated record. The transcript has 3 exons. Lineage: Eukaryota; Metazoa; Chordata; Actinopteri; Salmoniformes; Salmonidae.